CCUCCAGCCUGGAUUUCUCCCCUGCAGGGGCAGCUGAGGGUCUCAUGGAACCAAAGGACUGCUGGGACACUUGGGGAACUCACAAAAUCAAGCGACCGUCGUGACACUGCCCUGCAUCAUGGAAGCAAAUGUUCCCUGGGAAAUUACAGAAAACCAGGGAAUUAAGGGACAUCAUUGAAUUAAACAAACCCUGGGAUAUCUUUGGAACUUCAUGGAAUCAAAGGGAUAAAACGAAAGAAUUAAACCCAAUGACCAGAAA
Long non-coding RNA from Pipra filicauda (Wire-tailed manakin), 259 nucleotides. RefSeq lists it as uncharacterized. The record is from RefSeq and is a predicted model, not a curated record. Lineage: Eukaryota; Metazoa; Chordata; Aves; Passeriformes; Pipridae. The transcript has 2 exons.